AUUAUUUACAGAAUAAUAAGAAUAUAAUAAUAUUAAUACGAGUCGGUUGUGUUAAUUUCGGAUUUAUAAAGGUUAAACCGAGUUCACCCGAUCUAGGGUUACCACUUUUGGAAGGGUAUAAAAAGGGAAAGUAAGAGGAGAAAUUUCAGAAAACCCUAAGUUUCCCUUUCUCCUCUUCAGCCGUCAUCUCCCUCUCUCUCAAUUUCUCUCUCCUCUCUCGCUGGUUUCUUCUCCCUCACCGAUUCUUCCUCUCUUCCCUUGCUUCGUCUCUCUCGCUUGUUUCGUCUCCCUCGCCUACUUCUUCUCUCUCGCAGUGGGCUGCUGUGCGAGGCUCGCGAGUGCGAGGCGUUGCAAGCGUGUCGGUGCAGGUGCGGGACGAGGGUUGUGCGAGCGAGGCUAAGGGAUAGAGUGUAGUGCGAGUGUUGUGCGGAUUGUGCGAGUGAGUGGAGUCGAGGGCUGGAUCGAAGGCUGUGCGAGCGAGGCUAAGGGCUCGAAUGAGUCGAGUAUUGUGCGGUUGUGCGAAAGGCGCGCGACGAGGGAGCCCGUGAGUGUUCGAGGGACGUGCGAGGCUGCUGUUGCUGCUGCGCGAGGCUGCUGUUGCUGCUGUGCGAGUUGUGCGACGAAGCUCGAAGCGUGUGCGAGGCUGCUGUGCGAAUCGAGGGCUGGUUCGAGCGUAGCCGUGCGGCUGCUGUGGUAGAGCGUGGGGUUGUGUGCCGUUGACGGAAAUCGGUCGCCGGAACUUGAUUUCCGGCAAGCUUAACGGUCCCAAUUUCAUAAGCGGAACGUUCGAUUAAGACAGCGAAAAUUCUCCGUUACAAGACUAGGUGUGCUGGUGCUGCUGCAUAAUCUCGAGCAUACGGGGACUAGGCUUGGUAUUUACAUUUAAAGCAUUUUGAAAUAAGUAUUAUUGGU
Molecule: long non-coding RNA, 912 nt
Organism: Beta vulgaris subsp. vulgaris (sugar beet)
Lineage: Eukaryota; Viridiplantae; Streptophyta; Magnoliopsida; Caryophyllales; Amaranthaceae
Exons: 3
Source: RefSeq, a predicted model, not a curated record